Long non-coding RNA from Gossypium arboreum, 597 nucleotides. RefSeq lists it as uncharacterized. NCBI's taxonomy places the organism in Eukaryota, Viridiplantae, Streptophyta, Magnoliopsida, Malvales, Malvaceae. The record is from RefSeq and is a predicted model, not a curated record. The transcript has 2 exons.
GACUUCAUUCUCUCUUCAUUUAAAAAAAAAAGAGAGAGGAUGCUUUCUCUCAAACUCUCUCCCCCUUUGCAAUUUCCGAUCAUUGGACCGGCCAUCGGCAGCCACAAUUGCCGCCGGUCGUCAGCGACCAGAAAAAUCAAAAUUUCCCUUUUUCGGCGAUUGAAAAAAAAUAGGUGGAUGGGUAGUGCUAACACGGGUGGUGGAGAUGAUAGUGGCGGUACUGACAUGAUAGAGGCAGCAGUGGCAGUGGCGGCUAGCAACUAGGGUUUUCCUUUUUUUAUUUUUUUGUUUAUUAAUUUGGGCUGCUAGGGUUAGGUUAUUUAGGCCUUUGCUUGUUGGGUUUGUAAUUGAGUUUGGUUUUUGUUUUGUAAAAAAAUAGAUUGAAUGAUUUUGAGCCCAGGCAAAAUUUAGGUUUUACACCUAUGCUCGAUUGUAAGGCUGUCAUAUUCGUGAAUAGACCUGAGAAAUUGAUCGAUAUACAAUUGUAUUAGAAGGUUAUGAGUUUACUCAUAAUUGUAUAUAUUUUAGUUGGUGCUUUUACUCUAUGUUGUUGAAAAUAAAAAAAGAAAAGAUAUGGUCUUUAGGGAGGACAAUAAA